GAUGGGCCUGCGCACCAUUAGCUAGUUGGUAGGGUAACGGCCUACCAAGGCAAAGAUGGUUAGCUGGUCUGAGAGGAUGACCAGCCACACUGGAACUGAGACACGGUCCAGACUCCUACGGGAGGCAGCAGUGGGGAAUCUUGCGCAAUGGGCGAAAGCUUGACGCAGCAACGCCGCGUGGGUGAUGAAGGCCUUCGGGUCGUAAAGCCCUGUCGGAAGGAACGAAUGCUCCUGGGGUGAACAAUCUCAGGAGGUGACGGUACCUUCAAAGGAAGCACCGGCUAACUCCGUGCCAGCAGCCGCGGUAAUACGGAGGGUGCGAGCGUUGUUCGGAAUCAUUGGGCGUAAAGGGCGUGUAGGCGGUUUGUUAAGUCAUGUGUGAAAUCCCUCGGCUCAACCGAGGAAGGGCGCAUGAAACUGGCAAGCUAGAGUACUAAAGAGGGGGGUGGAAUUCCCGGUGUAGCGGUGAAAUGCGUAGAUAUCGAGAGG
RNAcentral lists this ribosomal RNA (489 nucleotides) under uncultured delta proteobacterium. RNAcentral's name for it is "bacterial SSU rRNA". It matches the Rfam family "Bacterial small subunit ribosomal RNA", at positions 224 to 704 of the family's 1533-position model. Lineage: Bacteria; Deltaproteobacteria. The record is from RNAcentral.